Non-coding RNA from Coffea arabica (coffee), 1969 nucleotides. The record is from RefSeq and is a predicted model, not a curated record. NCBI's taxonomy places the organism in Eukaryota, Viridiplantae, Streptophyta, Magnoliopsida, Gentianales, Rubiaceae.
UAUUUGAAUGGCUUUUGUUAUUUAUAGGCGGACUUUGACAUUGUUGGAGGUGCGAUAGCAUUGACGGAGGCAGAGAUCAUUAAGGCCUCGAUGGACAUUAUUGGUCAGUUUUUUCAUUCAGAAUUAUGUGAUAUUCAUUUGAACCAUGGAGAUCUAUUAGAAGCAAUUUGGUCUUGGGCCGGAAUCGAGCCGGAGCAUAGACAGAAAGUGGCUGAGCUUCUCUCUCUAUUAGGAUCUUUGCGCCCUCAAUCUUCUGAAAGAAAAUCUAAAUGGGUGGUGAUAAGACGACAGCUUCAACAGGAACUUAAUCUUGCUGAAGCUGUUGUAAAUAGAUUGCAGACUGUUGGACUUAGAUUCUGCGGACUUGUAGAUCAGGCUCUUCCCAGGUUAAGAGGCGCCCUUCCUGCUGGUAAGUCCACAAGGAAGGCCCUCGAUGAGUUGUCAGAGCUUUAUAACUAUUUAAGGGUUUGGAGGCUUGAUAGACAUAUCUUUGUGGAUGCACUUAUGCCUCCAACUGAGAAUUAUCACAGAAAUAUUUUUUUUCAGAUAUAUAUGAGGAAGAGUCUUGGAUCUUUAGUGGAAGGAACCUUGCUUGCUGUCGGUGGUCGUUAUGAUUACUUGCUUCAUCAUACAGGCGAUUUUGAAUAUAAAUCAAAUCCUCCAGGUGCAGUUGGGACUAGUCUUGCUUUGGAGACAAUUUUGUCGCAUAGUACUAUGAUGGAUACGAAAAUUUAUAGACAUGAUGUUGGUAUCGAGGUUCUUGUUUGCUCAAGAGGAGGAGGUGGUUUACUAGUAGAGCGCAUGGAACUAGUGGCUGAGCUAUGGCAGCAGAAUAUCAAGACUCAGUUCGUCCCCAUAUGUGAUCCAAGCCUCACAGAACAGUAUGAAUAUGCCAACGAGCAUGAUAUCAAAUGUCUUGUGAUCAUCACUGACAGUGGUGUAUCCCAAACAGAUUCAGUUAAGGUUCGGCAUCUUGAGCUGAAGAAGGAGAAGGAAGUUCCGAGAGAAGAACUUGUCAAGUUUCUCUCUGAGGCAAUGGCAACUCAAUUUAAAAACCCAUCCAUCUGGAACUAGAACAGAUUACUUGAACGCAUUGCUACCAGUCAAAAUGAACAAGGCGAUAGAACAUCUUCUAGCAGAUUGGGAAUCUAUCAUUGUACGUCAGGUUAACUGGGUAUGUUUAUUUCCACUAGGAUGAGGUGAAAGAUUCACACAUGUAGUAGAUGGAGUUCCUACAUCAUGCUGAGAGGGGGGACAAGUGAUAGUGGAGAAUUCCUUUGAAAAUUCACAUUUAGUUCCAUUUAUGAAUCAAAUCUCAUUUUUGGAAUUGAGCUCUGAACUUGUGCGAAUUUUUUUCCUUUCAGAAUUAAAAGAGUUUCAGAUGCCAAAUAUUUUUAUGUUGCACGUUCGAUGAUCACUUGAAUCAUACUUUGUCACGUCCCAUGACUUGUAUCUCUGUUUCUUCUCCAUGGAAACAUCAUUAUUGUUUGUUUGAGGAAAGAUAAACAGACAUCGCUAACAUUAUUAGCAAAAAAUUUUAAUUAAUGUACAAAAAGGUAGAUCUCCUUGAGUACGAAAUUCAUCUCUUUUUUUGUCUGUUUUGUUACAGAGUACUGUUUCAUAUACAGAACAGUAGAAAGUUAAAGUCAUCAGAGAAGGGAAAGAAAAUCAGAAAACAAUUUUCUGCCCUCAGUUUUGCUUAUAUAGAGAAUAUUUAGUUUCUUUAGCUGUACAGUAUUGUUCAAGGCGUUUAGACGAUAGUUUCGCCCAAUGAAAAUGAAGAGACCGGCAAAGUUUUUGUUCGCAAGACAGAGAGGCAUGUUUCCUUGUAUAUCAAAUUUUGUUUCUAAUCUUCUUGAAGUCCAAACUGCUUAAGCCAUUUGGAUUGUAAUUCUAAAACAUACUGUCAUUUUGCUGUUUCCUAAUGUGUGUGUCUAAUCAGUCAUCGACUACAAGGUUCACAUCUUCA